This is a long non-coding RNA of Hevea brasiliensis (rubber tree), 587 nucleotides long. RefSeq lists it as uncharacterized. Lineage: Eukaryota; Viridiplantae; Streptophyta; Magnoliopsida; Malpighiales; Euphorbiaceae. The record is from RefSeq and is a predicted model, not a curated record. The transcript has 4 exons.
UUGCUCGGGAAGAUUUUAGCCCAUUUCGACUUUUGGGCUAGAUUUCUCAAAAACCGUGAAUCCCACGAGGAAACCAAGGCCACCAGCACGCUCCAUUCGUCGAGAGCUUCGCAACGACAUAAAUUUCGAAUUUUUCCGACACCGUUUUUCGGUAUCCUCGAUUCGCGGAAAUUCGACAGUUGACCGGGUCUGCAAAUUUCGGGCCAGACAGACCCGUGACCGGAAAAGUCUCCGAAUUGGGCCGAGGUUUUGGCUAGCCCCCCAUUGUCAGACGUCCCGAGCGCGUCCCCGAAGUCGGAAUCGGCAAAGGUGAGCCGGGACAGCCUUCUUCCUCCGCCCAGCCGCCACAGUAAUUUGUCGUCAAGUCUGCUACAGGAGGAUUUUAUUUUGGUUAACCUGCUUUUCUCCCUCGCAGGUCAAUUAUUACUGUUUGUAUAAACUUGUUAAAUCUUAGAAUUUCCGCAUGUGUUAGAAAUGUUAUUUGAUUUGGGUCUGUAAACUAAAUUAUUAUUUUGGGACCUGUAAACUUAAUAUGCUAUGCAUGUUUGAUGGAUUGGAUGAGGGAGCUGAGCUCCCAUUUAUUAUUA